GCGACAACAAGUUCGAUUUGAUUUGUCUCGUGCCGCGGCGGUCAUCUUAGACAACUCCACUCCUCUGUCGCGGUCUCCACCAAGGAUAUCCAGAUUAAGGUGGGGAAUUUCAGAUUAAGGCUCGAGAGAGAGGGAAGAGAGAAGAAGAAAAGUAAAAGAAACGCCACCGCAAGAUAACGUCUCCGGCAACAGUGAGCGGUGUCCAGUGACAGCGAGCGACUGCCGGAAGAGAUUGUUGGGAGAGAGUUGGAAGAAUCCGGUGUGAUGUGCCUAUGAUAGCAAUAUUAACUAAUGGUUAAAAAAACAUGGUUCAUAAUGAACCAUCUGUAAGGUGGUGCACCGUAACCUAAUUCUUAGUAUACACACUUCACUUCAAUAGGUCGAUUGUAACGUAACAAUUACUAACCAAUAAAAAAUGCAACAAAAACAAUACUUAAAUAUUUCAUCAUGAAAAAUCACUCCAUCAAUGCAUAAUCUAAGUUGUAUAUUACAAAAUCAGGAUGUACUUAAUCAAAGUGCUAUUUUGUGUUUA
This is a long non-coding RNA of Glycine soja, 532 nucleotides long. RefSeq lists it as uncharacterized. The transcript is spliced from 2 exons. Lineage: Eukaryota; Viridiplantae; Streptophyta; Magnoliopsida; Fabales; Fabaceae. The record is from RefSeq and is a predicted model, not a curated record.